Salvia splendens (bonfire salvia) is the source of this 703-nucleotide long non-coding RNA. RefSeq lists it as uncharacterized. The transcript has 2 exons. NCBI's taxonomy places the organism in Eukaryota, Viridiplantae, Streptophyta, Magnoliopsida, Lamiales, Lamiaceae. The record is from RefSeq and is a predicted model, not a curated record.
AUUACUGUGGACAUUCAAUGCACGUCUCCACCAAAUCUCAUUCAAUUCAAAACUUUUCGACUUCCCACCCAUUCUUCGCAAGAAUCUGCAAACCCUAGUUGCAUAUCUACCAACAUUUCCUCUCUCCACUUCUGAAAUCUUUGUUCGUAAUCUUUCACGAAUCUCUACCGACGUUUGCCCUCUCCGUUUCUGAGAUCUCCCAUUGCAACUCUCCCAAAAACACAUUCCCCAAAAUUCAAACCGGAGUUGCAUCUUUCUAAGGUUCUAACAUUUUUGUUCAAUGAUGGCUAAGAAAUGCAAAAAUUCGAAAGCACCAUGCCGGUGGAGGUCGGGGGAUCGUCUUGAAUGGGUAAGCAUGUGCUUGUUUUUGCUAUGCGUUGAUUCCUUCUUUUUCAGGGGUCGCGAAUUGGGGAUCUGCCCUGAUUUAUUCUUCUAAAUUGUUGAUGAAAGGUAGAAUCAGUAAGUUGUUUCAACCGCUCCGAAGUUGUUUCAUCCACUAUGAAGGCGAUAGCUUGACCCUAGGAUUGUUUGAUGGAUGGUGUUACAAUAGAUGGCGAUGGAUGGUUUGCUGGAUGACGUUAUAGUAGGCGGUGACGAUGAAUUGUUUGAUGGAUAGCUUGAUUUAGCCUUGGCUUAUUCUUCUAAAUUGUAGUGACACAAUUUUAUUAUCUCUCCAUUUAACGCAAUAAAUAACACUUUUUAA